UGAGAAACUCACCAUGUUGCUACCACCUCACUAACCAGAGUGACUCCAGUUUCACGUUUUCACGCCCUGGGACAUGGCAUCACAGUUGCUUUUGCAACUCUAGCUUGUCUACAGCCAUUGUUUAGCCCCGCCCCACCUUUGUUUAGAGUUGAGUGGUAGUUGAAUCAUCUCGUCCAGGGUAAGCUUGGAGCGCUUUGUGCAUAGCCAUGAAUGAGAUGACCAAUAAGUUGAUUCAAUGUAAAGUAGAAUAACCACUUGUUCGUACGGCCGUUGGCGAUUCCAUGUUUAGCCCGUCCUACCUUUGUUUAAAGUUGAGUGGUAUUUGCAUCAUCUCGUCCAGGGCAAGCUUCGAGUGUUUGGUUUAUAGCCAUGAGUUCUAUGUAAAGUAGGAUGGCCACUUAGCUCUACAUUGAAUCAAUGCCAAUUUUCUAAGAGUGUUGGAUCGAGGCACUAGUUUAGCCUAAAUUCAAGGAGUAGGUCAUCUUGGGUGCCUUUUGCAUGUGGGAGUUUUUCGCCUUGUUUUCAUAUUAUAGGAAGUGUAUGGUGUUGGAGAGGUUCUCUACAUGAGGUGUGGGCUCUAGACGAGCGUCCGCAUUUUCAUCGUCUGCGUUGUAGAGUGUGGAAAGGCAGGCAAUUAGGCUAUUCCCAUUGCAGCUCCUUUUCAGUGUGUU
This 671-nucleotide long non-coding RNA is filed under the name Triticum aestivum (bread wheat). Its description in RNAcentral is "long non-coding RNA (TAES_LNC022539)". The record is from RNAcentral. Lineage: Eukaryota; Viridiplantae; Streptophyta; Magnoliopsida; Poales; Poaceae.